RNAcentral lists this ribosomal RNA (198 nucleotides) under uncultured bacterium. RNAcentral describes it as "partial 16S ribosomal RNA". It matches the Rfam family "Bacterial small subunit ribosomal RNA", at positions 336 to 526 of the family's 1533-position model. The record is from RNAcentral.
CUCCUACGGGAGGCAGCAGUGGGGAAUUUUGGACAAUGGGGGCAACCCUGAUCCAGCGACGCCGCGUGGAGGACGAAGGUCUUCGGGAUUGGUAAACUCCUUUUUGAGGGGGGAAGAAGUGCCUGAGUGAAUAACUCAGGGUGACGGUACUCCUCGAAUAAGCCACGGCUAACUACGUGCCAGCAGCCGCGGUAAUUC